RNAcentral lists this ribosomal RNA (241 nucleotides) under uncultured bacterium. Its description in RNAcentral is "partial 16S ribosomal RNA". It matches the Rfam family "Bacterial small subunit ribosomal RNA", at positions 118 to 347 of the family's 1533-position model. The record is from RNAcentral.
UGGGUAACCUGCCUCAAAGAGGGGAAUAGCCUCCCGAAAGGGAGAUUAAUACCGCAUAAUAUGUUUAGGUCGCAUGACUUUAACAUCAAAGGAUUUUCUUUUAGAAAUUCCACUUUGAGAUGGACCCGCGGCGCAUUAGCUAGUUGGUGAGGUAACGGCUCACCAAGGCAACGAUGCGUAGCCGACCUGAGAGGGUGAUCGGCCACAUUGGAACUGAGACACGGUCCAGACUCCGUAGGAG